CAUGAAGUGGGGGAAAAUCAACUGAUGAGAAAACGUGGAACUGCUGUGGUGGUAAAUUUUCUCCGCAGUGGUUAAGACUAUUCCUUUUGGAGUCAGUUAUGGGAAGAAAAGUAGAAGUGAAACAAGAGUAUUCUAUUUGCUUUGUUUAAAAA
Long non-coding RNA from Lemur catta (Ring-tailed lemur), 152 nucleotides. RefSeq lists it as uncharacterized. The transcript has 3 exons. The record is from RefSeq and is a predicted model, not a curated record. NCBI's taxonomy places the organism in Eukaryota, Metazoa, Chordata, Mammalia, Primates, Lemuridae.